CAUGACACCGAGCCACAGCGGGGCGUCGGGGUCCCGGUCCUGCCCGUAGGUGGCCAGCAGCGCCUGCGCCUC
This 72-nucleotide antisense RNA is filed under the name Streptomyces sp. NRRL B-1140. Its description in RNAcentral is "ASpks sRNA". It matches the Rfam family "ASpks TB sRNA". Lineage: Bacteria; Bacillati; Actinomycetota; Actinomycetes; Kitasatosporales; Streptomycetaceae. The record is from RNAcentral.